Long non-coding RNA from Biomphalaria glabrata, 3950 nucleotides. RefSeq lists it as uncharacterized. Lineage: Eukaryota; Metazoa; Mollusca; Gastropoda; Planorbidae. The transcript has 4 exons. The record is from RefSeq and is a predicted model, not a curated record.
AUUACUCGCUGUGGGAAAAAAAAGUUUCUAGCUGUUGGAUAGCACCGCCUGGCGGGCCGGAUAUGUUUGGGGGGUCAUUGAUAUAAUUUCAUCAUACGAUGACGCACAGGUAUUUCCUGAUCUAAAUCUAGAACCAAAUGCGUAGUAGCCAGAUUACGUGGCAGCAUUCCAAACUGGUCUUUUCUUGUUUACGUUGGAUCGUAUGAUACCGUCUAUUUUGAUUGAGUCUAAUAACAGAUUUUGUAGUUGCGACUAUUUUUUAAUAGGCUUAAGUUAACAUAAAUUUUAUUUCUAAACCGUUUCAACGAUUUUGAAUUACAGAUAACUACUCAUUGCGUUAACUGUCGUUAACAAUAGGAUAUUUUUAGCUGUAACCUUUAUGAAGCACAACAUGAGUAUGCCAGGAUCAAACUUUAUAACGUAACAGUUGAUAUUGUUUUUGUUACCACGUAUGACUCCAUUUAAAGCAAUGGCAGACCAAAGUCCUAUUGAUGAAGUGGAUAGGAUAGCUGUCAAUCAGUCUCAGAAUCUUGAAGAUGACACCUUACUGAACAUAUCACGGAACAGAAAAAGUGAAGCUCAAUGUAUCAGUCCGCUCCAUGAUUUGAGUCCAAAUGCUCUAGAAGUUAAAAUAAAAAUAGAGCCAAUCUAUGACGCCAUUGCAGUGCAUCCAGAUAUCGACAUCCAGCAGAAUAGGGUUCAAGAACUUCGGGGAACUGUAGACCACAUCGCCCUCUGGAAUAUAAAUGAGAAACUGUACAAAUUGGCUCACGUUAAAGGAAAAAAGAAUUUUAAACUGAAAUUUAUAGAUAAAUCCAAUUUAGUGACAGAGCAAAAUGUCCGGAACACUUCCAUUUAUUUAUUUCCAGACACUACAAAGAGUAUUACACUUGACGUGAAUAGUCUUGAAUGCCUGAACGAUGGAAGCAAUGUUCUGGUUUGUCACAAUGUACCAAUAGAGAUCUUUCCAAUACUGCAACAAAUUAACAACAACAAAUUGGCUAUAAAGCAGAACGGUAAACAAAAAAAUGGUUUCGCGUAUUUUAAAUAGAACAGCUGAGAUGCUCUAAAUACCUUGCAGUCACAUUUCUUUUAAAAAUGUGGAAAUAAAAAGAUUUCGAUUGUGAUAUUCGUGCCCUGGAAUAUGUAGAGACUUUUGAUUGAAAUAUAGCGAAAUAUGAAAAAUAGACAUCGUAUCCAUUAACAUCUGAUUGCAUUUACUACAAUGUACAAAACCAGCUCUAAAAAACAAAUAUUGCAAACAUGUCAGAAAAGGCUUUGGACAUACCAUUGUAAGCCUUUAGAAAGCUGUAUUAGUCUUCUGUGACUGCAAGGAUCUAAGAUCCUAAUACUUUUUUUUGUGUGAAGACUCUUGCUAAUCACUGGGAGAAAAAGAUGCAUAUAUUGAUGAUGUCAUUCAAUUCUUCAUCGAGGAAAGCAAUGACGUAACGCUAAUUACUUUGUCAAAUCAAAGAUUAAUUUCUUCUGACCUUUUUGUUUCAAUUCGAUUAAAUACAGACGUUUGUCACUUUGCAAAAGUCAUUACAAGUCUAUGAAGUUUUAGCUUGACUCGGGCUGCAUAAUGGCUGCUAAUACAGUUGGAUAGUCAAUAGAGGUUUCAUUCCUUCGUCUCAAAUGAUAGUUCCGAGGUAGGGAACCAAACCUGAACUACUGGCUAGAACUGCACACUCCACAGCAGCACAUGAGAAUCUAUAGACAAUCUAUAAAGACGCAAGCGUAGCCUUGGAGUAUUAAAGUCAUCAAUGCUCUCCUUUGGUGACGGCCACAUACUUAUAUGCUUGCGAAUCUUUAAAGCUAACUGCAGAAUUAGAGAGGAGGAUCCUAGUUAUGGGAUGACUCCGAAACUGCCAGGGUAGUCUGGCACCACAUGCGCCGCCCAAAUCGAGAGGACCCGUGGUGGAGGCUAAAAAAGAUCGGAACAAUCGAUAAUAGCGCAGUGGCGUACGGGACACUGCCCCAUUGGUGCGUACUUCGCCCGGUUCCGGCCAAACAUUGAUGCCCGUUGCCGACACUACGGAAAAUCAGAAGAGACGGUGGCGCACGUCUUGCAAGAGUGCCCGCAGCUCCCCGAGCUGCGAGGAGACGUAUGCAGUGGUACACUUAAUUUGUACGGAAGCUAUGAGGCACUACGCCACACAGCAGAGUUACUUACCAGGGCACUACUGGAGACUUAGGUCUCCCUGCCUUGUCACCAACUGGAGUUCAUCUCAGUUAUGGGAUUCAGAUGCUAUAGGAUUUUAGCAUCACCUAUAAAGACCGCAUCACAAAUGGGGAAAUUCUGCUGACCACAGUUAGAAAAUGUGUAUGACCAUAUCGCGAAAUCUUCCAAACUAGCAAAGACUUUCCUGAAGGGAACAAUACCAGGGGGAAAAAAGAAAAGGCAGAUAACAUCAAAGCAUGAACGGACUUGUCAUAUAAAGAAAUUCUUAUCAGGGCGAAAGACAGAUAGAAAUGGAGUAAGUUUGUCCACAGGUCAUGUGUUCAACGGUCCAACAAACAAAGGGAUAGUUGCAGGUGAACACGUUAACAGAGAGAAGUUUCUAAAACCAAAUUGUAAAGUAACAAAAAAAUUUCUUUCUUUAUAAUAAGAUUAAAUCUUUGUGGCUAGUCUGUGUUCAGUUCCAAUGCUUAGAUAAGACUUUGCAGCCAUCUCUGAGUUCAUUGGAAAUGAGAUUGCAUUCACCUUCGACCUCGAAGGAGGAGCUUAUUGGUUUUAGGGUCACAAUAAAGAAAUUGAUGGUGUUUCUAUUUAAAUUAGUUGUUAAUCUUAAUUUCUUGAUUAAGAUACAGUUCUUUUAAACUGCUGCUAUACCAACAUUUUGUAACUAAAAAUGUUUAUAUUUUAAUUUUGAUAUGUACUGGUGGUGAGGUGGGCCAGUAGUAAAGCGCAUUGAUUCCGAACCGAGGAUCCCGGAUUCGAAUCCUGGUGAGGGUCAUUAGCUCCCCUCCCCCCUAGUCCACCAAACCAUAAUGUGUACCUGACAUUAGUUGGGGGAAAGUAAAGACGGUUGGUCGAUGUGCUGGCCACAUGACACCCUCAUUAACCGUUGGCCAAAGAAACAGAUGACCUCAACUAAGACUAAGACUGCUUUAUUGAUCCUUAUGGAAAUUUGUUGAGAUUGCAAGGACUCUUUUCUCAUAUAAAGACAACACAACAGAAACAUACACAUAAAUACAACAGACACAACAUAAAGAGUUCAUUCAGCGACUACACACAGGCAUCUUGGUCCUUUUCAUGUUUUUUGAUCAAAUGGGUGGUGUUGAUAAAGUUUGACCGAGUAAUAACAUUGUCUGCCCCAUCGAUCGCAAGGUCUGAAAGGGGAAUUUUUACUAGCAACAUUGACGUUCAAUUCAUCCUUGAACAUGUUUAGCUUAUAGGCUAUCCUGAAAAUCUUCAAUAAAAAUCCACUCAUUGACCUAAUGUCCUAAAAGGCAAAGACUUGACUCUCAAGACAAUCAAAACUAUGGUGCCCAACCCAACGCAGUUGAAGAGGGCUGGAAGGAGGUGCGUGCGGUUUCCACACUGAGGUCAGCGUCAAAAGCAUAUUUUGCCUUGACUGAAAUCGGUGCAGUAUUAUGAAAACAUGCAUAGUGAAUGUGUCCUCCUUUAUUAAUAACUUCAAAAUAACCAAAUGGACAAUAUUUAUAAAAGUUGGUUAUGUAAAUAUAUACAUAGUAUUUUUACCUAUGUCUUUAUUGUGUAAUACUCUGUUGCAUUAUAUGUAGGAAUGUUUUAUUUAUUAUUAACAGUAUUGUUGUUACUUAAAUAAGUUUUCUUGUCCAGUAAUAUAUCUUUGAUAGCAUUUCAAAGUAAUAUUUAUUGAUGCAUUUCACUUUGCAAUGCUAAAAGAACAAUUUAGAAACUUUGUUUCAACUUUGUUUUUAAUCUGCAGAUUCUAUUUACCAAUAAAUGUGAUAUUUGUAUGAAG